CCAUUUUAUUGUCACAGGUGAUGGUGUGGACCAGGUGCCAGGUGAUAAGAAUCAACUGAAUUUGGCAAGCUCUUCUCAGAAGAGUCCCGCAGAUGAUCCUGUGCACCAGCGGCUCCAAUCUCCGAGUAAUGGGAUGUUACAGUCACCUCCAGAGGAGAGUCCAGACUGAUAUGCUGAUGUGGUGGAGGUGCGACCAAUCAUGCUGAUGAAGACAACAUCCAUGGAAUCGAUGAAGGACUAAGAUGGAAAAAAAAAAAUGGAUUAUUUUUUUAAAUUGCAGAGCAAAGCUCUUUGAGCUUUUAAGUUUACAUGUGCAUUAGAUAAACUUCACUUUUAUUUAAGCUGUUGUAUUUUUUCCAGCUAUUUAGCUUUAUCCUAAUAAAAUACCUAAAAAUA
Long non-coding RNA from Carlito syrichta (Philippine tarsier), 396 nucleotides. RefSeq lists it as uncharacterized. The transcript is spliced from 2 exons. The record is from RefSeq and is a predicted model, not a curated record. NCBI's taxonomy places the organism in Eukaryota, Metazoa, Chordata, Mammalia, Primates, Tarsiidae.